CAGCCGCCGCGGGAAUACGAAGGGUGCAAGCGUUAAUCGGAAUUACUGGGCGUAAAGCGCGCGUAGGUGGUUCAUUAAGUUGGAUGUGAAAGCCCUGGGCUCAACCUGGGAACUGCAUCCAAAACUGGUGAGCUAGAGUACGGUAGAGGGUAGUGGAAUUUCCGGUGUAGCAGUGAAAUGCGUAGAGAUCGGAAGGAACAUCUGUGGCGAAGGCGACUAUCUGGGCCAACACUGACACUGAGGCACGAAAGCGUGGGGAGCAAACAGGAUUAGAUACCCGGGUAGUCCCUGUCUCUUAUAU
This 301-nucleotide ribosomal RNA is filed under the name uncultured bacterium. RNAcentral describes it as "partial 16S ribosomal RNA". It matches the Rfam family "Bacterial small subunit ribosomal RNA", at positions 509 to 809 of the family's 1533-position model. The record is from RNAcentral.